This 253-nucleotide ribosomal RNA is filed under the name uncultured bacterium. RNAcentral describes it as "partial 16S ribosomal RNA". It matches the Rfam family "Bacterial small subunit ribosomal RNA", at positions 524 to 776 of the family's 1533-position model. The record is from RNAcentral.
UACGUAGGGGGCAAGCGUUGUCCGGAAUCAUUGGGCGUAAAGCGCGUGUAGGCGGCUGGGUAAGUCCGCUCUGAAAGCCCGGGGCUCAACCCCGGGAGGCGGGUGGAUACUGCUCAGCUCGAGUCCGGAAGAGGAGUGUGGAAUUCCUGGUGUAGCGGUGAAAUGCGCAGAUAUCAGGAAGAACACCAAUGGCGAAAGCAGCUUUCUGGGACGGUACUGACGCUGAGACGCGAAAGCGUGGGGAGCGAACAGG